RNAcentral lists this ribosomal RNA (2398 nucleotides) under Salmonella enterica subsp. enterica serovar Typhimurium. RNAcentral's name for it is "partial 23S ribosomal RNA". It matches the Rfam family "Bacterial large subunit ribosomal RNA", at positions 636 to 2925 of the family's 2925-position model. The record is from RNAcentral. Lineage: Bacteria; Pseudomonadati; Pseudomonadota; Gammaproteobacteria; Enterobacterales; Enterobacteriaceae.
UGUAGCAAGGUUAACCGUAUAGGGGAGCCGGAGGGAAACCGAGUCUUAAUUGGGCGUUAAGUUGCAGGGUAUAGACCCGAAACCCGGUGAUCUAGCCAUGGGCAGGUUGAAGGUUGGGUAACACUAACUGGAGGACCGAACCGACUAAUGUUGAAAAAUUAGCGGAUGACCUGUGGCUGGGGGUGAAAGGCCAAUCAAACCGGGAGAUAGCUGGUUCUCCCCGAAAGCUAUUUAGGUAGCGCCUCGUGAAUUCAUCUCCGGGGGUAGAGCACUGUUUCGGCUAGGGGGCCAUCCCGGCUUACCAACCCGAUGCAAACUGCGAAUACCGGAGAAUGUUAUCACGGGAGACACACGGCGGGUGCUAACGUCCGUCGUGAAGAGGGAAACAACCCAGACCGCCAGCUAAGGUCCCAAAGUCAUGGUUAAGUGGGAAACGAUGUGGGAAGGCCCAGACAGCCAGGAUGUUGGCUUAGAAGCAGCCAUCAUUUAAAGAAAGCGUAAUAGCUCACUGGUCGAGUCGGCCUGCGCGGAAGAUGUAACGGGGCUAAACCAUGCACCGAAGCUGCGGCAGCGAACGUAUCACCCAAGACAACUUUACGGAGUUGACGAUUGACGGAGCGAAGCGACGUCAAAGCGUUCAUUAAAGUCGAGUUGGCUUAGGGAUACGUUCGUUGGGUAGGGGAGCGUUCUGUAAGCCUGUGAAGGUGUGUCGUGAGGCAUGCUGGAGGUAUCAGAAGUGCGAAUGCUGACAUAAGUAACGAUAAAGCGGGUGAAAAGCCCGCUCGCCGGAAGACCAAGGGUUCCUGUCCAACGUUAAUCGGGGCAGGGUGAGUCGACCCCUAAGGCGAGGCCGAAAGGCGUAGUCGAUGGGAAACGGGUUAAUAUUCCCGUACUUGGUGUUACUGCGAAGGGGGGACGGAGAAGGCUAUGUUGGCCGGGCGACGGUUGUCCCGGUUUAAGCGUGUAGGUGUGUGUUCCAGGUAAAUCCGGUUCACUUUAACACUGAGGCGUGACGACGAGGCACUACGGUGCUGAAGCAACAAAUGCCCUGCUUCCAGGAAAAGCCUCUAAGCAUCAGGUAACACGAAAUCGUACCCCAAACCGACACAGGUGGUCAGGUAGAGAAUACCAAGGCGCUUGAGAGAACUCGGGUGAAGGAACUAGGCAAAAUGGUGCCGUAACUUCGGGAGAAGGCACGCUGACACGUAGGUGAAGUGAUUUACUCAUGGAGCUGAAGUCAGUCGAAGAUACCAGCUGGCUGCAACUGUUUAUUAAAAACACAGCACUGUGCAAACACGAAAGUGGACGUAUACGGUGUGACGCCUGCCCGGUGCCGGAAGGUUAAUUGAUGGGGUCAGCGUAAGCGAAGCUCCUGAUCGAAGCCCCGGUAAACGGCGGCCGUAACUAUAACGGUCCUAAGGUAGCGAAAUUCCUUGUCGGGUAAGUUCCGACCUGCACGAAUGGCGUAAUGAUGGCCAGGCUGUCUCCACCCGAGACUCAGUGAAAUUGAACUCGCUGUGAAGAUGCAGUGUACCCGCGGCAAGACGGAAAGACCCCGUGAACCUUUACUAUAGCUUGACACUGAACAUUGAGCCUUGAUGUGUAGGAUAGGUGGGAGGCUUUGAAGUGUGGACGCCAGUCUGCAUGGAGCCGACCUUGAAAUACCACCCUUUAAUGUUUGAUGUUCUAACGUGGACCCGUAAUCCGGGUUGCGGACAGUGUCUGGUGGGUAGUUUGACUGGGGCGGUCUCCUCCUAAAGAGUAACGGAGGAGCACGAAGGUUGGCUAAUCCUGGUCGGACAUCAGGAGGUUAGUGCAAUGGCAUAAGCCAGCUUGACUGCGAGCGUGACGGCGCGAGCAGGUGCGAAAGCAGGUCAUAGUGAUCCGGUGGUUCUGAAUGGAAGGGCCAUCGCUCAACGGAUAAAAGGUACUCCGGGGAUAACAGGCUGAUACCGCCCAAGAGUUCAUAUCGACGGCGGUGUUUGGCACCUCGAUGUCGGCUCAUCACAUCCUGGGGCUGAAGUAGGUCCCAAGGGUAUGGCUGUUCGCCAUUUAAAGUGGUACGCGAGCUGGGUUUAGAACGUCGUGAGACAGUUCGGUCCCUAUCUGCCGUGGGCGCUGGAGAACUGAGGGGGGCUGCUCCUAGUACGAGAGGACCGGAGUGGACGCAUCACUGGUGUUCGGGUUGUCAUGCCAAUGGCACUGCCCGGUAGCUAAAUGCGGAAGAGAUAAGUGCUGAAAGCAUCUAAGCACGAAACUUGCCCCGAGAUGAGUUCUCCCUGAGACUUAGAGUCUCCUGAAGGAACGUUGAAGACGACGACGUUGAUAGGCCGGGUGUGUAAGCGCAGCGAUGCGUUGAGCUAACCGGUACUAAUGAACCGUGAGGCUUAACCUUACA